CAGCAGCCGCGGUAAUACGGAGGGAGCUAGCGUUGUUCGGAAUUACUGGGCGUAAAGCGCGCGUAGGCGGUUACUCAAGUCAGAGGUGAAAGCCCGGGGCUCAACCCCGGAACUGCCUUUGAAACUAGGUGACUAGAAUCUUGGAGAGGUCAGUGGAAUUCCGAGUGUAGAGGUGAAAUUCGUAGAUAUUCGGAAGAACACCAGUGGCGAAGGCGACUGACUGGACAAGUAUUGACGCUGAGGUGCGAAAGCGUGGGGAGCAAACAGGUUUAGAUACCCCCGUAGUCCCUGUCUCUUAUAA
Molecule: ribosomal RNA, 301 nt
Filed under: uncultured bacterium
Lineage: Bacteria
Description: partial 16S ribosomal RNA
Rfam family: Bacterial small subunit ribosomal RNA
Source: RNAcentral